GACGAACCGUGCAAACGUUGUUCGGAAUCACUGGGCGUAAAGGGCGUGCAGGCGGUUUGUUAAGUUCAGGGUGAAAGCUCCCGGCUCAACUGGGAGAGGUCCUUGGAUACUGGCAGACUUGAGGAGGGUAGAGGAGAGUGGAAUUCCCGGUGUAGUGGUGAUAUGCGUAGAUAUCGGGAGGAACACCAGUGGCGAAGGCGGAUCUCUGGGCCGAUACUGACGCUGAGGAGCGAAAGCGUGGGGAGCGAACAGG
This 253-nucleotide ribosomal RNA is filed under the name uncultured bacterium. Its description in RNAcentral is "partial 16S ribosomal RNA". It matches the Rfam family "Bacterial small subunit ribosomal RNA", at positions 524 to 776 of the family's 1533-position model. The record is from RNAcentral.